CUGUACGAGCGGAACUCUGUGAUAGUCGGCGACACCAGCACAAUCACCGGCACGGAGCUGCACGACACCAGUCCUGCGGCAGCCGCUGGCGAGGCCAACCUGGACAGCGACGAGGGCGUGCGCUCCAUCUCGCCGGCCAGCGUCCUCCUGCUGGACCUGUCCUCCUCCUCAUCGCACCAGCCCAUCAGCGACGAGCUCUUCUUCAGUGCGCUGGACCUCCCGUAUGCGAGCACGCCGCAUCAAGAAAGCUCAUCUAGAUUAUCACGGUUUCCAUUCUGCGGAAUUCCGAGGCUGCCCUCUUGGGACUGCUCCCUGAUACGACGCCGACAUUCCGAUGUUGGAGUGCUCAGCCCUGGUUUGAACCACUCUGGACAUAGCAGCCUACCAUCAAAGAUAUCAGUUGAAGAGAACGUGGG
This is a long non-coding RNA of Rhipicephalus microplus (southern cattle tick), 416 nucleotides long. NCBI's taxonomy places the organism in Eukaryota, Metazoa, Arthropoda, Arachnida, Ixodida, Ixodidae. The record is from RefSeq and is a predicted model, not a curated record.